Molecule: ribosomal RNA, 686 nt
Filed under: Salmonella enterica subsp. enterica serovar Enteritidis
Lineage: Bacteria; Pseudomonadati; Pseudomonadota; Gammaproteobacteria; Enterobacterales; Enterobacteriaceae
Description: partial 23S ribosomal RNA
Rfam family: Bacterial large subunit ribosomal RNA
Source: RNAcentral
CCCUUUGGGUGUGACUGCGUACCUUUUGUAUAAUGGGUCAGCGACUUAUAUUCUGUAGCAAGGUUAACCGAAUAGGGGAGCCGGAGGGAAACCGAGUCUUAAUUGGGCGUUAAGUUGCAGGGUAUAGACCCGAAACCCGGUGAUCUAGCCAUGGGCAGGUUGAAGGUUGGGUAACACUAACUGGAGGACCGAACCGACUAAUGUUGAAAAAUUAGCGGAUGACCUGUGGCUGGGGGUGAAAGGCCAAUCAAACCGGGAGAUAGCUGGUUCUCCCCGAAAGCUAUUUAGGUAGCGCCUCGUGAAUUCAUCUCCGGGGGUAGAGCACUGUUUCGGCUAGGGGGCCAUCCCGGCUUACCAACCCGAUGCAAACUGCGAAUACCGGAGAAUGUUAUCACGGGAGACACACGGCGGGUGCUAACGUCCGUCGUGAAGAGGGAAACAACCCAGACCGCCAGCUAAGGUCCCAAAGUCAUGGUUAAGUGGGAAACGAUGUGGGAAGGCCCAGACAGCCAGGAUGUUGGCUUAGAAGCAGCCAUCAUUUAAAGAAAGCGUAAUAGCUCACUGGUCGAGUCGGCCUGCGCGGAAGAUGUAACGGGGCUAAACCAUGCACCGAAGCUGCGGCAGCGACACUGUGUGUUGUUGGGUAGGGGAGCGUUCUGUAAGCCUGCGAAGGUGGCCUGUGAGGG